CCCCCCCCCCCCCUUUAAAAAACCCUGCUGAAGAAGACUGUUAGGUCGAAACGCGUGUAGGGUUGCCUUUCCUAUACUCAAUUUCGAUCUCUCACUCUUAUAUCCUCACCUUUUAUGGCGUCCCAUAAAAAUUUCACCUACUUUAGUUUCUAUAUAUAAUCGUUGUUUCCCUAGUUUUUUUACGUACAUGUUCAUCAUAGGAGUCGGAGUAAAGAAAUGAAGAACAAUCAUUUUUUGAAUACUGGUCCUCUCAUUAUUUAGGCUACACGAUGUACACCAGUACUUGUCCAAUUACCUAUUAUAUACCAAAAAAGUAAAAACAAAAAACUAAAAAAUGUAUAUACAUGCAUAAAAAAAAUAUCGUGCAAGUCCUCUGACUGACAAAAAAAAAUCGAACAGUGUCAGGAGGCGGAAAAAAAAAAUCGAGCAAACUGAAAAUCUACCCACCCCCCCAUCAAAAAUCAAAUGGUCCGUCCCUUACUGUAGACGCACUGUAAUAAUUCAUAAACCUUGUGGCAAAUCAUGUCAGCCAUAAUAUGUCACGUGGAGUGACUUUAUAUAUCUGAUAAAACAUGUGGCAUUAUAAUUGUUCAUCCUCAUUAGUAUGAUUAUAUAAUGGUUCAUCCUAAUUAGUAUUCUUCUGCAGUCGUGUUUUAAGCUAUUUAAAACAUGAGUAAGGAGUGUUGUAAAUAGUACAAAAAUCCCUUUGCAUUAAUUCACCGCUCUACUUGAAAUCAUUUGCUUCUACAGUAGAUGGUAGCAUGCAGCCAAGGACCCCCACUAAGACCAGUAUACUGUAUAUAAUCAUCUCUCUUUAUUUCUUUGUAUAAGUAAUUUUCCAAGUACUAUCACUCAUUGACAAUGUAGUCAUUGUAGCGUGCAAUUACAAGUAUGCGUAGGCGAUGAAAAUUGAAAGAGUCGAAGAGCCUUGUUUGUACUGAAAUCUGCAAAGGUUAUUUGUAAAAUUUCACUUUGUUCAUAUUUAACUGUACAGAAUUAUGUGCAUAAUCUUGCAAUGCUUAACGCAGUAGUAAGGUCUGCUGUUAUCAAGUUGUAACAAGGGUGAUAAUGGACCGGUGAUAAAGUAACUGCU
Molecule: non-coding RNA, 1093 nt
Organism: Paramuricea clavata
Lineage: Eukaryota; Metazoa; Cnidaria; Anthozoa; Malacalcyonacea; Plexauridae
Source: the annotation of a GenBank genome assembly